This is a long non-coding RNA of Phodopus roborovskii (desert hamster), 1008 nucleotides long. RefSeq lists it as uncharacterized. The transcript has 3 exons. Lineage: Eukaryota; Metazoa; Chordata; Mammalia; Rodentia; Cricetidae. The record is from RefSeq and is a predicted model, not a curated record.
CCUGGAGAAGGCGGGGUUUCCGGCUCCGCCCGAAUAUGCCCAGGAGACAGCGAAGCUGAAGGUGCUGGAGGUGGCAUCGUGGCUGCACAGGGACCUGCACCCGCCUGAUGUCAUUAUUGGAGCCUAUACCGUCCUGGUGAGUGAGGCCCUGCCCCUCACUGACCCGGCCCCUUGGCGUCUGGCCCCGCCCACUGUAGGCCAUGGAUGGCUUCAUCCUGGAGAAGCCAAAGGACAAGGACGAUGCCUACAGGAUGCUGCGCAGGUGGGCGGGGCCUUAAGGGGCGGGGUAGACCCCCCAAGGCAUAGUGGGCGGGGCCUCUUCAUGGAGCUCCAGCCUCUGCCCACCCCAGCCCUGCCCCUUGCCAACCACGCCCUGUCCCGCCUUCCCUGGCCCCGCCCAGGCUGAGUGGCCAGCAGCACAGUGUCAUCACCGGUGUGGCCAUCUUGAGGCCACUGUGGCAGAGGCAGCUUCAGGAGCCGAGUUCCACAUGCCCAGAGGCCCCAGAGGCGGAAGGGGACCCAGAAGCAGAAGUGGAAUUGUCACUGUUCCACGAAGAGACCCGUGUGACAUUCUCGCGGCUAUCGGAGCCACUGCUCUGCCAAUACGUGGAGAGCAGGGAGCCUCUGGACAAGGCUGGCGCCUAUGGGCUUCAGGCGCGAGGCGGUGCCCUAGCAGAGCGCGUGGAAGGGGAUUUCUUCAAUACUGUGGGGUUUCCACUCAACCGCUGCAUGCGUGAGCUGGCUGCCAUCUUCCCGGAUGUGGGACCACACGUCCCUGUCAGCCAGCAUCCGGCCACACCCCAAUAAUGAGGAUUGUAGAUGGAGAAUGAGUAUGUGAGUGACUGUCCGGGCGGGUAUUCUGGUGAGAGAGUUACUGAAGGGGCGGGACUUCUGGUGAGUUUGUGAAGCAGUGACCCAUUUCCCAUGAUGCCCUUGGUGCAUUGUGUUUGAUUGACAGAGCAAGCUUCCCUCAAGUGCAUCACUUCCCAGUGCUAGGACACAGGACAU